UCUUUGCAUAAAAUCAUCUUUGCUCACAUCUCUUGUUAUUUCUUUAGAAUCAUUUCCUAGAAGUGACAUUACUGAGUCAUCCUUUUUGAAGUCUUGUUACUUAUUACCAAGUGCCUUUCCGGAAAGCCAGAAGGCAUUCCCAGCGUGUCUGAGGGUGUCUAAGACAAGGUCCUCUUUAAGAGCAGUGCAGUAUGGUCGCUGCAAAUUGUAUGUCUUUGAUUGGAUUUACAUUUCCUUGGUUACUAGUGAGGCUGGACUUAUCUUUCACACAUCUUUUAACUAGUCGGUGUAGACCCGUGAGUAAUCGCCACACAGAGCAACUCGUCAUUCCUGUCCAUACUUCGUUCUUGCUCUCACACUGUUGAUUUUGCCUUUCAGUGCGGACCCAGAUAACUUAGGGGUGCCUCCGUGAGGAAAAUUGUUUCCUAUUCGACAUGUCCAGAAGAACUUUGUUCUCAGUGAGGACUUGUGUCUCCAUUUCGACCCAUCACCUCAGCCCCUGCCACCCUGUCAGCUCCCUCAGAGGUGCCCCACCUCAGAAGAAAGGUCAGAGUUAAGAUUUCCCUUAACUGAAACUCAAUCUGCAAGCUCAGACCAUUCUAGAAACAGUAUAGGAUUUUUCAGGAAGUAACUGAGCUAAAGCCAAAGGGCCCAUGCACCCCGCCUUCUCUUCCCAAGAAGUUUCAAUUCUUUUUGUUCUCAGGGGAGAUGAGAAAGGGAGGGAGGCCAGAAGAAGAAAAGGGGCCUUCUCAGGUGCCCCCUCACUGAGCUUCCUGACGGGAACCUCCCGGGCUCCUGGGUCCCUGAAGAGCCUGCAGUUCUCUGAGUCAGACAGGAAUGCACCAUCACCUCAGACAGGAGGCUGGAUCUUAAGAGGAGCCUAAGAUAAAGGUGUGUGUCUGUCCACCAGCUCUACCAAGUGCUAUGGUGCACACUUCACUUGAGGAAAGCUGCCUGAGGUGGUAUUUUGGAAGACCUGUGAUAACUCUGAAUCAUGAAACUGGAGGAACAGAACAAAUCACAAGUUAAAACAUACCUAACGUCUGCCAGAAAGUACCCGCUGAGAGCAUCAUUAGCCUGAAGUCUGGAUCUAAUGCACUAAGCCCCUCCCUUCCCUCUUAACCCCAAUCUCUUUAAUUGACAUUUAGUUGCCUGCGGUCAGAUCUCUUUCAAUCCCAGUGCCUACAGGCUCCUGAUCUUGGGCGACUGGGACAGCUAGACCUAUCUUUUCUUAGGCCCACUCUUGCUUUAUUUCCCUUUUUUUGGUGUGUGCAUACUGCUUUAAUUGGGCAAUCAGUAUGCCAUUCUCCCAUUAACGUCGGUGGGGAAGUGAGUAAUCAAACUCUCAAUUGUAAACUUCGAUAAGAUAAGGUCAGCAAGACGUGUGGUCCUGAGAUGGCACCCCGCACCCGCAAGGGAAAAUGACUCUCGGUGGCUCUCAUUGUUUUGGGGCUUGUUUGCGUUGCUGUGCACUUGUAAUGGAAAACGAAUAAAAAUAAAAAUCCCGGGGCCCAUUUUGGCGCGCGCUUGGGAAGUUAAUCCCACUGUCCUGGCAGAAUUCCAGCUCAGGUCACUGCAUUCUGCUGGCGGAAGCCGCCUCAUGCGGUUUUCAGUGGAUGUCACUUUCUUCUUUGCAUCCUUCUCGGGGCUCCGUGUGCAGUGCAUUCAACAGCUGGCCCUUCCCCACCUGCAGGAGCUACAGUUCUGCAGAACUCAGAAUCACCCCUGCCUCUUCCCCGGGCAGGAAAUUAACCUGCUCCAAGGACCAGCCACUGAGAUAUUUGCUGCAGUCAAGAUCUAUAUGAAUGUGUCUUUCUCUGAGUGCCUUUAAGCAGCCACAGAAUCAGAUUACUCUCCUUAAAAGAUUUUUCAAGGAAUCACAGUUUCUUACAAGUCUCUAAUGCAUAUAUUCCCUCCAUUUGUUUUGUAACGUUUUGUUAUGCAAACUAAAAAUGUCUCCUUAUCUGAAGUACUUAGAAAUUU
Molecule: long non-coding RNA, 1983 nt
Organism: Neofelis nebulosa (Clouded leopard)
Lineage: Eukaryota; Metazoa; Chordata; Mammalia; Carnivora; Felidae
Exons: 3
Source: RefSeq, a predicted model, not a curated record